Molecule: long non-coding RNA, 527 nt
Organism: Stegostoma tigrinum
Lineage: Eukaryota; Metazoa; Chordata; Chondrichthyes; Orectolobiformes; Stegostomatidae
Exons: 3
Source: RefSeq, a predicted model, not a curated record
AACGAAUUCAUAUGCAUCUUCUGGGGAGCGAUCAAAAAUGCUGAAUGGGGUGCCUGGGAUUUUGGUCCAGUGAUGAGGAAGGAACAUUGAUACAUUUCCAAGCUAGAAUGCUUUGUGACUUGAUUGGGAUCCAGGAGACAAAAGCACCUGCUACCUUUGCUCAUCCAGCCGAUAGAAGUCAUGAGUUUGGAAGAUACUGUUGAAAGGCCCCUGGGUGCCCGACAGGGGGACAUCUGCACCCCAAUUUGUGGACAUGAUCCUGGAACUCUAACUGGGCAGGACUUCCUCUUCCCCAGGGCCAGCCAUGGAGGCCACACUGAACAAUGGCAGCGGAGUCUGAAGCUCCCAUCCAAGUUUGAGCAGUUUCACCCAUUUGGAGGAAUGACCAGCACUGUAAGGAGAAGGUCAUUGUUGUUUUCCACUCCACCAGGGCAGGAUCUUUCUAAUUUAUUUUUAUUCAUUCAUGGGAUGUGGGCAUCACUUACUUUGCUGGCCAGCAUUCCUUGCCCAUUGCUCAUUGCACUUCA